Cavia porcellus (domestic guinea pig) is the source of this 2602-nucleotide long non-coding RNA. RefSeq lists it as uncharacterized. NCBI's taxonomy places the organism in Eukaryota, Metazoa, Chordata, Mammalia, Rodentia, Caviidae. The record is from RefSeq and is a predicted model, not a curated record. The transcript is spliced from 3 exons.
GGGAAGGUCCAAAGGUCAGCAGUGGAAGCCAGAAAGCCCAUGGCAGCGGGGUGAAGGAGCUGUGCCAGCAGGCCGAGGGUUCUGCACUGCAGCCAGGAGGCAACGCUCACAGUAAGGAGCAGGGCGCCCCUGAAAAGUACCACAGCCAGCCUCAGCGACAGUGAGGUCUGGAGCUCCUCCAAGGAGGAGAACAGCUGAAUCCGUAUCAGGGCGCCACCGUGACGAGCUUCCCCGGGAGAACCCCCGGCUCCACACAACACUCCGGAGAACCCACCGGGCUGCGCUUCCGCGCCAGGUCUCCUCCUCAUGCAGUAACAGCCCUCAGGCGGGCGUCCACGCCGAUGCGGUCACCGGCCCACUACAUGGCGUCUGCGGCUGACCUUGAAUUCGUGGCAACCCUGCUGCCUCAGCCUCCUGAGUGCUGAGAUGACAAGUGCGCCCCACCAGACCCAGCUGAACCAGUCUUUCAUAACCAGAACUGACAGAAGCCCACAGGGAGAAGCCAGCGCAAGGCAGAAGUGGCCGCCCUGCUCCAACCCCGAGCCUGGUUCCCAGGCUUCUGAGGACAGGAGAGCUCUCCAGCCACACCCACUGUGACAGGGGCUUUGGCCAGCCUCGGAGGCACCCCCCUGGCAUCCCAGUACUUAGGGAGGCUGAGGCAGGAGGAGCACCCUGAGCUCGAGGCCAGCCUGGAAUAGCAAGACCUUGUGUCUAAAUUCGGGAGUGGAGCUGGUAGUCCCCCACUGGUGAGUGAGGCGUGAUGCCAUCCACCCGGGGUGCCCAAGCCAUGUACCCUCCAUUCCCAGCCCCAACGGUGCAGGUUCAUGUUCGGCCCUGGAUCUGAAAGAUUAUCUCUGUUCCUGCACCACCUGCCUCUUGGUCCCCUUUGCCUUUGGGAAUCCUCAGGACCCGGCCUCUGGGCUCUUGGGACUGCGUGGCCUCCUGGUGCAACACGGGUAGCUCAGUUAGGUGCGAAAGGGAUCAGGUCCGAGAGAGAGAGAAGCCAGGCCUGUGGUCCAGGACCCCCCAGCUGGAGACGCCACAGCUGAACGAGAGCUCCAGCAAUCCUGGACAGUACCACAGUCACAGAGGCCACGUCCUGGCCGCACAGGAAGUGCCCAGGGCACGCUGACCCUGUCCACCCCUGCAGAAAUGGCUCUGCCCUUCUCCAUGUGGUCGCCCAGUUCGCACCUGUGUUUCUGUGAGAGCAUGUCAGCUGAGUGGUGGAGCUGGGGACCCCCUAGGUCAUCGAAGCUGCCCCGAGGACAUGGACGUGACUGACCCUAGUGUGACGCUUCCUGGACUCCACUGUCCCACGUUCUGGGACAGGCGCUGGGCACAUGGAACAGAUUUAGGCCAACAGCAGGUGCCAGGCAGCCAUCCUGUGACCACAAGGAAGAGUAUGCUGGUCCCCUGGGAUGGAGGCUGAAAAUAACCUCAGUCCUUGAAGAUGCUGUGGAGGCUCCCGAGGAACCAGCGCUGGCGUCCCACGCCCAGCACCUGUGACAAACAGCCUGACUUUCCUCACUGUGAAGCGAGGUCUCCUCCUGGGGCUGGACGAGUGUAGGCCAGAUGGGGUCAGGGCUGGGCAUACAGACUCUGUCACCUCAACUCCUCCAGGUCAGACUGGAAGUCUCUGCCCCAAGCUCCCUGGGGUGGCGGCAAGGCUGGGCUUGCACUGGGCCCCUCCUGGAGGUGGGGACAUGGGCGCCACAUCCCUGCUGCAGUCCCACACUGGGGUGGGCAUCCAGCUCCUACCCUGUGCAGGGCCACCCAGGGGAGAGAGCACGGUGUGGCCACCUUCCCUCCAGCCAGGCCAGCAGGACCCUCGGGAUGCCCUUGAAGCCCACAGCCCUGCCCAAGACGCCUGUGACCCGUGCCCACCCAGGCCCGAUCUCCUAAUGCUGCAGCCUCACAGCCUAAAAUAGCGUGAGUACUCCAGCCAUCACAUCCACUUUCCAGCUGUUAGAAAGAAAUAGGCUGCACAUGGUGGUUGCAUGCCUGGGACCCCCAGCACUCGGGAGACUGAGGCAGGAGGACUGCUGCAAGUUCAAAUAUAUCUAUAUAUUUUUGGCCAAUAAAUGUAUAUAUUUGGCCAAUAAUUGGCCAGACUUGAGGGAGUGUCAACACUUCCUCAGAGGCUAGAGCAGCACCGUGGCAGGUUGGGGCCAACCUGGGUAACUCUGGGGCCAGACUUCAAAAUAAAAACUGGCUGGGAUGUGGCGCAGUGCUGGGAUGAGGCCCUGAGUUCAGUCCCCAGCACAGGGAGAAGCAACUGGCCGGGAGGUGGGGACAGAGUCUCCGCUGAGGGCCAGCUCCCAGGCAGGAGGUGGGGUCCCGGCGCCCCUGCGGCUGCCGGGCACAGGCCUGGCCGCCGCCCUCUAUUCCCUUUGGUUGCUCUUUGAGACUGGGUCUCCAUGUGGUCCAGACUGGCCUCAAACUCAAGUUAGUCCUCCUGCCUCCUCCUCCCCGGCGCUGCGAUGACAGGCGUGGGCCGCGGAGCCGGCUAGGAACAUCCAAAUGUUUGAGUCCUAUCUGGGCCCUGGGUUCCAGCCUCGGCUCUGCAGUGGAUAAAGAAGGAAAAUAAAGUCACAAAGUGAAA